UUAGGAAUUUUGGGCAAUGGGCGAAAGCCUGACCCAGCAACGCCGCGUGGGUGAUGAAGGCCCUCGGGUCGUAAAGCCCUUUUCCCAGGGAAGAUGAUGACGGUACCUGGGGAAUCAGCCCCGGCUAACUACGUGCCAGCAGCCGCGGUAAUACGUAGGGGGCAAGCGUUGUCCGGAUUUAUUGGGCGUAAAGCGCUCGCAGGUGGUUCGUUGCGUCGUGCGUGAAAGACCCCGGCUCAACUGGGGAGGGUCGUGCGAUACGGGCGAACUGGAGGCCAGUAGGGGGAUGCGGAAUUCCGGGUGUAGUGGUGGAAUGCGUAGAGAUCCGGAGGAACACCAGCGGCGAAGGCGGCAUCCUGGACUGGUCCUGACACUCAGGAGCGAAAGCGUGGGGAGCGAUCCGG
This 404-nucleotide ribosomal RNA is filed under the name uncultured bacterium. Its description in RNAcentral is "bacterial SSU rRNA". It matches the Rfam family "Bacterial small subunit ribosomal RNA", at positions 355 to 776 of the family's 1533-position model. The record is from RNAcentral.